RNAcentral lists this long non-coding RNA (567 nucleotides) under Neodiprion pinetum (white pine sawfly). RNAcentral describes it as "uncharacterized LOC124215425, transcript variant X3". Lineage: Eukaryota; Metazoa; Arthropoda; Insecta; Hymenoptera; Diprionidae. The record is from RNAcentral.
GCUUACGUGGCGUACGAGCCUUAAGUCACCCAAUGUGACAGGCCAGUUGCUUGCCACCACUCUCCGCGGUUGACGCUCCCCUCAAGGGACCUUUGUAUAAACAAAACUAGUUUUCUGACCAUACUCACGCCAUCCGCGUAAGAGAACAGCAUCGAGUAUUAUACGUAAAAUUUUCCGACUAACUCGCUGUGCACUGCUGGCAGUAACUGACGGAAACCGCUGGGCAUCAGUCUUGCAGAUUUGCGACAGAGAGCGCGCUACCCGAAUUCAAAAACCUUGAAUAAAAUCGAUGCUCACUAUCAUUGAAAACGAUCGAGCCAUACUUUCAAUGCCACAAAUAGACAUCCCAGUGCACAGGUUGAUAUUACUCGAUGGAACACUGACAAUGAUACCGAACGUUAUAUGUACGACAUGUGAGUGAUGGAUCAAUGAAAAAUCAAGUGCGAAUAUGGAUUAUGUGAUAAUAUUAUCAUUACCAGUUAGAUCGUUCAAGUAACGAGACUUAAGAGCGGCAGUUUGGGCAUCGACAUCGGCUGACCAAACGUCGUGUCUCAAGAAGCUGAUUAG